GGGGUGCAGGGGGGUAGGAGGAUCAGGACUCUCUCAACUCCUUGCAGAUAUCUGCAAGGAGUUGAGAGAGUCCCAUUGAACCUGAUCCGGCCAAUACCGGCGAAGGGAAGCAGCUAUCU
This 119-nucleotide non-coding RNA is filed under the name Candidatus Cryptobacteroides excrementipullorum. The record is from RNAcentral. Lineage: Bacteria; Pseudomonadati; Bacteroidota; Bacteroidia; Bacteroidales.